GGGGGUGAUAUGGCUUCGACGGAAGCAGUCUGUCACAGGUUGCGUGUCGGCUUGAGAAAUGCCGUAAAACUUUCUUCACAAAAAUAAACGUAAACAAUACAAAUUAUAGACCAGCUUACGCUGUAGCUGCGUAAGUUUAACGAAUAUUUUGGUCCCUUGCGCCAAAGUCUGCCCUUUGACUUUGGAUUUUGCAAGGUCAUAUGAAAAAGGGCUUGAGUUUGAGGCUUCCUAACCUCAAACUGACAUAUUUAGGAUAGAUUACUUAAGGUUUCGGGCGCUGAACCUUAAGUAAUCGAAAGCAAUCGGCGCUACUACGCACGUAGAGGCCUAUGGCAGGUUGUUUUCGGACUCGGGUUCGAUCCCCGACACCUCCACCA
This 377-nucleotide transfer-messenger RNA is filed under the name Nitratiruptoraceae. RNAcentral describes it as "CAJXMB01 sp913056105 Standard tmRNA". It matches the Rfam family "transfer-messenger RNA". Rfam says of the family: Bacterial tmRNA, also known as 10Sa RNA or SsrA, is named for its dual tRNA and mRNA-like properties. Its role is to liberate the mRNA from a stalled ribosome. Lineage: Bacteria; Pseudomonadati; Campylobacterota; Epsilonproteobacteria; Nautiliales. The record is from RNAcentral. RNAcentral also lists the same sequence under 1 other name.